GGGACCCACUUUAUAAAAACGGAGACGUGACGGUGGGGACGUGACCACAGCACUAAUCUCACCACACAUCACACCAUCAGAAGCGUCCAGUCCAGAAUAAUGGGACAGCCUACGAAGAUACAUCUGCUGGGCCAGCUCAGAGGUUCUGGCUCACGGGAUGAUGAAGAUAUGAAAAUUUGACUAUGGCACUGACAAGCCCAGAUGGCACCUCCAGGAGCUCCCCAUGCCCUCCUCUAUGGAUUGCUCAAGACCUUGAAUACACUUCCAGAGAAAAUUCAGACUUUGAGCUGGAGUUUAUCCCUGAUCUGAAGAUUGGCUUCAAGAGUUGUUCAUCAAGAGGAGUGAAUCACAGUCACUAAAGGCACCUUCCUGUGACAUUUUGGAUGGCUCCUGGAAUAAAUUUCUACCACUGAGGAACCUUGCUGGUGAGGCAGAAGUCUCUGUCUCCACAGAGAAAAAGCCAAAAGAAGGGAGUUGUGCAUCUACUUAGAAUAAGAGAAAACGGUUUCCAGAUGGCUAAUGAAUGGUUAGGUUUCUCCGUCACAUGGCAACAAGUCUUACUUCCUCAAAUGCUGGUUCUAAGGACUACUGUGAAAUCCUACUAUUGAGAUUCAUCUAGAUCCAAUUCCAUCUCAUUAUUGUGGAGAUACGGUGCAGAGAACAAUACAUGAAUAAAUACAACUGGAUUCUGCUCUACUGAAACUGAAAUCCACCAACAACCUAAGUCAGCUUAGAAACUGAUUCUUCUCCAGAGCCUCCAGAAAAUAACACAGUCUGUUCAACACCAGGAGUUCUGUCUUCUGAGACCCAGGGCAGAUAAAUCAGCUCCCUGCUCUUCCAAAAAGCAGAAGUUAAGUCAUUGCAAUUGUGGCAAACACUACAAAGAAAAGCCAGGAUAGUUUGUAAUAGAUGAGAAUGGCAGGACCUGAAUAGGAG
RNAcentral lists this long non-coding RNA (936 nucleotides) under Homo sapiens (human). RNAcentral describes it as "HSALNT0324855". Lineage: Eukaryota; Metazoa; Chordata; Mammalia; Primates; Hominidae. The record is from RNAcentral.